Molecule: ribosomal RNA, 497 nt
Filed under: uncultured bacterium
Lineage: Bacteria
Description: partial 16S ribosomal RNA
Rfam family: Bacterial small subunit ribosomal RNA
Source: RNAcentral
GAUGAACGCUGGCGGCGUGCCUAAUACAUGCAAGUCGAGCGAACAGACGAGGAGCUUGCUCCUCUGACGUUAGCGGCGGACGGGUGAGUAACACGUGGAUAACCUACCUAUAAGACUGGGAUAACUUCGGGAAACCGGAGCUAAUACCGGAUAAUAUAUUGAACCGCAUGGUUCAAUAGUGAAAGACGGUUUUGCUGUCACUUAUAGAUGGAUCCGCGCCGCAUUAGCUAGUUGGUAAGGUGACGGCUUACCAAGGCAACGAUGCGUAGCCGACCUGAGAGGGUGAUCGGCCACACUGGAACUGAGACACGGUCCAGACUCCUACGGGAGGCAGCAGUAGGGAAUCUUCCGCAAUGGGCGAAAGCCUGACGGAGCAACGCCGCGUGAGUGAUGAAGGUCUUCGGAUCGUAAAACUCUGUUAUUAGGGAAGAACAAAUGUAUAAGUAACUAUGCACGUCUUGACGGUACCUAAUCAGAAAGCCACGGCUAACUACGUG